This 607-nucleotide ribosomal RNA is filed under the name uncultured archaeon. RNAcentral's name for it is "bacterial SSU rRNA". It matches the Rfam family "Archaeal small subunit ribosomal RNA", at positions 53 to 669 of the family's 1478-position model. The record is from RNAcentral.
GCGAGUCGAGAGGUGCAAGACCUCGGCGUACUGCUCAGUAACACGUGGAUAACCUACCCUGUGGAGGGGGAUAACCCCGGGAAACUGGGGAUAAUACCCCAUAGGUUAGGGUGGCUGGAAUGCCCCCUAGCUCAAAGGUCCGCCGCCACAGGAUGGGUCUGCGCCCGAUUAGGUUGUUGUUGGGGUAACGGCCCAACAAGCCUUUGAUCGGUACGGGUUGUGGGAGCAAGUGCCCGGAGAUGGAUUCUGAGACACGAAUCCAGGCCCUACGGGGCGCAGCAGGCGCGAAAACUUUACAAUGCGAGAAAUCGUGAUAAGGGAACCCCGAGUGCCCGUAAAUUCGGGCUGUCCGCCAGUGCAAAAAACUGGCGAAGAAAGAGCCGGGCAAGACCGGUGCCAGCCGCCGCGGUAACACCGGCGGCUCGAGUGGUGGUCACUAUUACUGGGCUUAAAGCGUCCGUAGCUUGGUUGUUAAGUCUCUUGGGAAAUCCACCGGCUCAACCGAUGGGCGUCAGGAGAUACUGGCAACCUAGGGACCGGGAGAGGUGAGGGGUACUCCAGGAGUAGGAGUGAAAUCCUGUAAUCCUUGGGGGACCACCUGUGGCGA